This 819-nucleotide ribosomal RNA is filed under the name uncultured eukaryote. RNAcentral's name for it is "SSU rRNA". It matches the Rfam family "Eukaryotic small subunit ribosomal RNA", at positions 629 to 1426 of the family's 1831-position model. The record is from RNAcentral.
CGGUGUUUAACUGGCGUGAUGUGGGACGUCCUACCGGUGGGCUUAGCCUCGCGAGGGGCGGCCCAACUAAUAUCCCGUCGCGGUGCUCUUUACUGAGUGUCGAGUCGGGCCGGUACGUUUACUUUGAACAAAUUAGAGUGCUUAAAGCAGGCUAUCCUCGCCUGAAUACUGCGUGCAUGGAAUAAUGGAAUAGGACCUCGGUUCUAUUUUGUUGGUUUUCGGAACCCCGAGGUAAUGAUUAAUAGGGACAGAUGGGGGCAUUCGUAUUGCGACGUUAGAGGUGAAAUUCUUGGAUCGUCGCAAGACGGACAGAAGCGAAAGCAUUUGCCAAAAAUGUUUUCAUUAAUCAAGAACGAAAGUUAGAGGUUCGAAGGCGAUCAGAUACCGCCCUAGUUCUAACCAUAAACGAUGCCAGCUAGCGAUCCGCCGAAGUUCCUCCGAUGACUCGGCGGGCAGCUUCCGGGAAACCAAAGCUUUUGGGUUCCGGGGGAAGUAUGGUUGCAAAGCUGAAACUUAAAGGAAUUGACGGAAGGGCACCACCAGGAGUGGAGCCUGCGGCUUAAUUUGACUCAACACGGGAAACCUCACCAGGCCCAGACACCGGAAGGAUUGACAGAUUGAUAGCUCUUUCUUGAUUCGGUGGGUGGUGGUGCAUGGCCGUUCUUAGUUGGUGGAGCGAUUUGUCUGGUUAAUUCCGAUAACGAACGAGACUCUAGCCUGCUAAAUGGGCGUACCUUAUGGUAUCGCGAAGGCCCCCGGCUUCGGCCGGUGGGUUUUUACUACCAACGUACAAACAAAUCUUCUUAGAGGGACAGGCGG